UUCCGCGUGAGUACUGGCUGUUUGUGUCUCAUUAUCCAUUGCCAAAUAGCUGUCAUUAACCACGCCAGAGUGUAGUUUGGAGUGCUAAAUUACCGUGUGAAUACCAUUUGAAAAAGGAUUGGUCACUCGGAGGAGGCACUUCCACAGUU
This 149-nucleotide small nucleolar RNA is filed under the name Caenorhabditis brenneri. RNAcentral's name for it is "snoRNA CBN33529". It matches the Rfam family "Caenorhabditis snoRNA ceN51". The record is from Rfam by way of RNAcentral. Lineage: Eukaryota; Metazoa; Nematoda; Chromadorea; Rhabditida; Rhabditidae.